Molecule: long non-coding RNA, 263 nt
Filed under: Solanum pimpinellifolium
Lineage: Eukaryota; Viridiplantae; Streptophyta; Magnoliopsida; Solanales; Solanaceae
Description: long non-coding RNA (SPIM_LNC000175)
Source: RNAcentral
GGUGAUCGAGCGAAGGCUUGAUUCCUCCCUCGCUGUACCGAGGGAAGCCUUUCCCACCUCAUCUCUUAUAUGUGUGUGUGUGUAUGUAUAUAUAUAUAUAUUCUGUUAUUAUAUAAUGUAGAUGAUGAUUGAUUGAAGAUUUCCUUUCUACAAUAAGCCUACGAGAUGAAUUGGACCUUAGCCCGAAGAGCGCUUCCCUAGUACUGGCGGAGAGACUGAGAGAACGGAACUCCAGUGCACUGAUUGAGCUAGCUAGAAGCAGG